AAUAGAUACCCGGUAGUCCACGCCGUAAACGAUGAGUGCUAAGUGUUAGAGGGCUUCCACCCUUUAGUGCUGCAGCUAACGCAUUAAGCACUCCGCCUGGGGAGUACGGCCGCAAGGCUGAAACUCAAAGGAAUUGACGGGGGCCCGCACAAGCGGUGGAGCAUGUGGUUUAAUUCGAAGCAACGCGAAGAACCUUACCAGGUCUUGACAUCCUUCGCUACCUCUAGAGAUAGAGGGUUCCCCUUCGGGGGACGGAGUGACAGGUGGUGCAUGGUUGUCGUCAGCUCGUGUCGUGAGAUGUUGGGUUAAGUCCCGCAACGAGCGCAACCCUUGACCUUAGUUGCCAGCAUUCAGUUGGGCACUCUAAGGUGACUGCCGGUGACAAACCGGAGGAAGGUGGGGAUGACGUCAAAUCAUCAUGCCCCUUAUGACCUGGGCUACACACGUGCUACAAUGGAUGGUACAAAGGGUCGCGAAACCGCGAGGUGGAGCCAAUCCCAAAAAACCCAUUCUCAGUUCGGAUUGCAGG
Molecule: ribosomal RNA, 529 nt
Filed under: uncultured bacterium
Lineage: Bacteria
Description: bacterial SSU rRNA
Rfam family: Bacterial small subunit ribosomal RNA
Source: RNAcentral